This 1399-nucleotide ribosomal RNA is filed under the name uncultured bacterium. RNAcentral describes it as "bacterial SSU rRNA". It matches the Rfam family "Bacterial small subunit ribosomal RNA". The record is from RNAcentral.
AGAGUUUGAUCCUGGCUCAGGAUGAACGCUAGCGGCAGGCUUAACACAUGCAAGUCGAGGGGCAGCAUAAUGGAUAGCAAUAUCUAUGGUGGCGACCGGCGCACGGGUGCGUAACGCGUAUGCAACCUACCUUUAACAGGGGGAUAACACUGAGAAAUUGGUACUAAUACCCCAUAAUAUCAUAGAAGGCAUCUUUUAUGGUUGAAAAUUCCGAUGGUUAGAGAUGGGCAUGCGUUGUAUUAGCUAGUUGGUGGGGUAACGGCUCACCAAGGCGACGAUACAUAGGGGGACUGAGAGGUUAACCCCCCACACUGGUACUGAGACACGGACCAGACUCCUACGGGAGGCAGCAGUGAGGAAUAUUGGUCAAUGGACGCAAGUCUGAACCAGCCAUGCCGCGUGCAGGAUGACGGCUCUAUGAGUUGUAAACUGCUUUUGUACGAGGGUAAACGCAGAUACGUGUAUCUGUCUGAAAGUAUCGUACGAAUAAGGAUCGGCUAACUCCGUGCCAGCAGCCGCGGUAAUACGGAGGAUUCAAGCGUUAUCCGGAUUUAUUGGGUUUAAAGGGUGCGUAGGCGGUUUGAUAAGUUAGAGGUGAAAUUUCGGGGCUCAACCCCUGAACGUGCCUCUAAUACUGUUGAGCUAGAGAGCAGUUGCGGUAGGCGGAAUGUAUGGUGUGUAGCGGUGAAAUGCUUAGAUAUCACGAAGAACUCCGAUUGCGAAGGCAGCUCACUGGACUGCAACUGACACUGAUGCUCGAAAGUGUGGGUAUCAAACAGGAUUAGAUACCCUGGUAGUCCACACAGUAAACGAUGAAUACUCGCUGUUUGCGAUAUACAGUAAGCGGCCAAGCGAAAGCAUUAAGUAUUCCACCUGGGGAGCACGCCGGCAACGGUGAAACUCAAAGGAAUUGACGGGGGCCCGCACAAGCGGAGGAACAUGUGGUUUAAUUCGAUGAUACGCGAGGAACCUUACCCGGGCUUAAAUUGCAUUUGAAUAUAUUGGAAACAGUAUAGUCGUAAGACAAAUGUGAAGGUGCUGCAUGGUUGUCGUCAGCUCGUGCCGUGAGGUGUCGGCUUAAGUGCCAUAACGAGCGCAACCCUUAUCUUUAGUUACUAACAGGUCAUGCUGAGGACUCUAGAGAGACUGCCGUCGUAAGAUGUGAGGAAGGUGGGGAUGACGUCAAAUCAGCACGGCCCUUACGUCCGGGGCUACACACGUGUUACAAUGGGGGGUACAGAAGGCAGCUACCUGGUGACAGGAUGCUAAUCCCAAAAGCCUCUCUCAGUUCGGAUCGAAGUCUGCAACCCGACUUCGUGAAGCUGGAUUCGCUAGUAAUCGCGCAUCAGCCAUGGCGCGGUGAAUACGUACGCGGGCCUUGUACACACCGCCCGUCAAG